CCAGCACCUGCGGUAAUUCCAGCUCCAAUAGCAUAUACUAGUGUUGUUGCGGUUAAAGCGUUCGUAGUCGAAUACGAUACUUGCAGGUCGCUAAGCGACCAGGAAGUUCCUGCUGGUAUAUCGCCUCGGAGGGUAUACUAUCCACGGUGAUGUAGCAGUAAGUUACCUUGAGAAAAUUAUGGUGUUCAUGGCAAGCAUGCGGUGCUCUGGAUGCAGUAGCAUGGGAUAACAACGCUUGGACUCCAACCCUAAGGGCGCCGGCGUCAGGGUUGCGAGGAAUGAUUAAUAGGAGCAGUCGGGGGUAGUCGUAUUCCAUCGCUAGAGGUGAAAUUCUUUGACCGAUGGAGGACGAACAACUGCGAAGGCAUCUACCCAGAAUGUUUUCAUUGAUCAAGAACGA
This 400-nucleotide ribosomal RNA is filed under the name Amorphochlora amoebiformis. RNAcentral describes it as "SSU rRNA". It matches the Rfam family "Eukaryotic small subunit ribosomal RNA", at positions 567 to 986 of the family's 1831-position model. Lineage: Eukaryota; Cercozoa; Chlorarachniophyceae. The record is from RNAcentral.